UCCUAAUGUUGCCUAUAUCUGUCUUUCAGGUGAUGGUGGUUAUGGCUGCUACUCUUGGCUCCUUACUCCAUUGUCCCAACCUGAUUCUCCUGCUGAACACAAUUAUAAUAAUGCACAUAAGUCUACGCGGAAUGUGAUAGAAAGAUGUUUUGGGGUGCUGAAAUUUAGGUUUCGGUGUCUGGAUAAGUCUGCUGGGCUUUUGUUGUAUAGUCCCUCAAAGGUGACUAGGAUUGUUUUCUGCUGCUGUUUUCUUCAUAAUAUGUGUUUGCGCCAACAUCUGCCACAUGUUGGUGAUGAAGAAAACAGCCAGCAAGUAGGUGAGCUAGAUACAUCUGGUGACAGUGUGAGUACAGAUGUAGGGAGGCAGGUAAGGCAAGAAGUGAUUCUGCGUUAUUUUAACGACAGCUGAGGGGAUUGUGGAUCCUCGCUUUGUGGACUGGCCAAAAUUGCUUGUGGUGGCAGGGACAACACUGCGGAGAUGCGCUGUUGGGAUGGUGAUGAUGGUGCUGCAGAUUCAGCCUCAAGACGGCGUCUCUUGGUUGGCCUCCUAGGCACAGUCACCGAGCCCUGUGAUGGGCGCCUUAGUGGAGGGGGGUUUGCAGAAGAAGAACCUAUGUGAUAAGAUAAACAUUAACAUUUUGUGUUUCUAUGUGUUUGCUGAAUAUGUGUUUACAGUGAAUUCUUACCUGCAUUCCCACCAUCUGCAUCACUUGGCAGUGUUGGAUGUGGCCUGUCUGUGCUGCUUCUCUGGCGUACUGUAGAAAUAUUAAGAAUUACCUUAUGACCAUACUUUUUUUUAACAAUGUUUUCUGAAAAUCCUUAUUGUGAUGUAAACAUAUGUGGAACCUGAUAAGUAAACUAAACAAUGCUUA
This is a long non-coding RNA of Pseudophryne corroboree (corroboree frog), 872 nucleotides long. RefSeq lists it as uncharacterized. The record is from RefSeq and is a predicted model, not a curated record. The transcript is spliced from 2 exons. Lineage: Eukaryota; Metazoa; Chordata; Amphibia; Anura; Myobatrachidae.